This is a long non-coding RNA of Anas platyrhynchos (mallard), 2131 nucleotides long. RefSeq lists it as uncharacterized. Lineage: Eukaryota; Metazoa; Chordata; Aves; Anseriformes; Anatidae. The record is from RefSeq and is a predicted model, not a curated record.
CCACUAAGAAAUAAGCUUAGAAGUAUUUUUAAUUUAAUUUUUGAGAGACAUCUUUUACAUUGCAGAAUAAAAGCAAGAAGAUGUUAAUGCACUUAAUGUAGCACUACUUCAGCAGAGAAAAAUAGAAAAACAAGAAGUAAAAAAAAAAAAAAAAAACAAAAACAAAAAACCUACAGCUGAAAACAGUUUACCCUCCCACUAGGUUAAAGCCCACUGAAAUAAAGCCCAGGAGAGGAGAGAGAGGGAAUAGCACAAAGGCUUCUGGGGAUGGGAAGGCUUUAAAAGCUGAAGCAGCAGUUAAGUUGGCUGCUUUGCAACUGAGAGCAGUACUCAGAGUUAAAUGAAGUUAAAAGUAACCUGUUUCCCCCCUUACCUGAUUUAAAUUGGUUUUCUUCUUCUGUCAUGUGAGAAGUAAUACCUUAGGGGAAAAAAAAUGUUAUCUUACAUGGUUUAUAGGAAACUUUCUUUCUUUUCAUGGGAGUUUUGUUAUUUUAUGACAAGAGGCAAUGUUUUUAUUCUGGUAGCAAUCUAGGUCUGUAUUUGUUUAACCUGUAUGUUUGCUUACAGACUGAGACUUCAGUCUCUACUUCCUGCUGCUAUAUUACAUUAUUGUGCUAAAGAAAGAAGUGGUUAAGGAAUGAGCAGUAAACCCCCUAAUAACUACAGAGAUGCUGAAAUACACUUUAUUUGACACUUUUCUGUCUCCUCUGCUUCUGGCAACCUUCAAAAUCCUCAUCAAGCAGGCUGAUGGCUACACUAAAAGACAACUUCUUACUACUACUGCUCCCUGCUAUUUUCUUAAUAUGCUACUGCACAGCCUGGAACUGGAAACUGAUUAAUUCCCAAAAGGCAAAGGGGCUGCCUAAAGAACAGUGCAGCACAGCUAACUGGGGAUUGCAAUACAAAGAUGGAUCUAACAUAUUACUUAGGUGCUCAGUUACAGCUAUAUGAUUCAAGGUACUUUAAAAAAAAUAAAAAUCCUGACAGGCAUCCUGCUAAAUCAUGUGAUAAUGCACAAUAUGAACAUCACCCAGAAUCAUCAUCAGCACUUCCUGCAGAUUAUGGGGAAAGAUUUCAUCAUGCAUGAAAUAUUGGGCAGGACUUGGCUAUCUCAUUCCCAGGAGCUGGUGCUUGGGUCUAACCACUGUACUCAAAGGGGCUUCUGCUUUGCAAUCUUUCCCAUUUGUAGGCAUGGUCACUUCAUGGGUCUGGCCCUCUCUAAUAGACUAACCCUAUGCAUGGAACAAUGCAAGAACACCACUGUCUUCCACAAGCAGAUGAGGGAUGACUCCCUCUGCUUUCCCUCUUUCCCCUUCAUAUACUGAGCCUGUGCUUGCCAUCAGUAGGCAAGUGAUGAGUGCCUGGAUGGACACCAGAUGCAAGGCUAAACCAUCCAAAUACAAGUGAUUCUGCCCACAGAACAGGGAGGGAAAUAGCAGAGAAGUAUUUCUGCAUUGACAUGGGAGCCUCCUUAGGGAGGACUGCAGCAGAUGAGUGCUCAGUUAUUCCCUAAUAGCCUUUUCUCCUUUCAUGAGUUUUGGCUUCUCCAAUUUUUUCCCAACCCAGACUGAACACAGCCCUCAGUGUAAUACAGAUGACUGCUUUCUUAGUAGGCAAAAAGGACUCUCCCUGAAGAGAUUUCUGAUUUCCUAGAGUGUGCCACUCUCCACAAGUGUGCAGACAACUCAGCACAAAAAUAGUGAUUGUGCCAGUAUGCUCUCCUUAUGCCCAAUUGCAGCCUGUACCAAAGAAUGAGGAUAUUCAUGAAAUGUCAAGUGCCCAGAUCAGAUGGUUUUGACUUGAUUAGCUCUCCACUCAAAUGCUGUCAAAUCAGAAAAUGACAUUGUAGCUGACUGUUGAAUGGACAAGGAGAAAAUGUCAUGGCUGCGUUUUACUCCCCAGGUAUUGCAAUUAAGACCAAAAGGGAAUUCAAUGAGAAGAUGUCUUGCACUGAUGGGUCCCUGAGUGAAAAUGGCAGUAGAAGGAGCAAAUUAGCUGAUCUGGUAGCUUACACCUGACAGUCCAUUCAAGAAUUGAUUGUGAUUAGCUGUGCAGUUAAAAAAGAUCGGGGCAGGUAUUACUUGGUUGCAUGAUCCUGAAGAACACACUUUGUUUUGUAGCAGAGUUGAAA